This 3473-nucleotide long non-coding RNA is filed under the name Marmota monax (woodchuck). Lineage: Eukaryota; Metazoa; Chordata; Mammalia; Rodentia; Sciuridae. The record is from RNAcentral.
CCUUCCUUUUCCAGAUGAAACAAAAUUUUAUCACAUCUCAACAAUGCAACUAUGAAGGAGAUAGAUGUGUUCUCUGCCCUGGAGGAGGAUGCACCUACUCAGGGCCAGACAGCAGAGGAACCCUUCAUUUUGAUGGUGCUAAGCAUUUUAUACAUUGGACUUCUACAAUUUUACCAGAAGACAAAAGUUCCUUAUUGAAAAAUAAUUGGCAGUUCUGUGGGCCAGCACAUUUUGUUGGAGAUGAAGUCAGCAGCUGAAAGUGGUACUUGGAGUCUUGUCUUGGUGGCUCAUUUAGGGUGAGAGGCCAUCUGCAAGGCCCAACCACCCCACCUUGUCGGAAUGGAAGUUUCUUCACCCUUCAGGGAGUACUGGAUGGUGAGUCAGUGCCUCCUCAAAUUGUCAACUUGUGCACCUAAUUGGUUUUGCUUUGAUAAAUAGAUAAAGAGGUGGGCUCAGUGGUGCAUGCCUGUGGUCCCAGUGGCUGGGGAGGCUGAGGCAGAAGGAUUGCAAUUUCAAAGGUAGCAACUUAGCAAGGCCCUAAGCAACUUAGAGAAACCUUGUCUCUAAAUGAAAUAUAUAAAAAACAGGCUGGGGAUGUAGCUCACUGGUUAAAUGUCCCUGGGAUCAAUCCCUGGUACCAAAACCAAAACCAAAACAAACAAAAAAGCAAAAACAACCAAAAGAAACUUGUGUUCAAUGUGAGCCCAUCAGAAGGAAAUUAUAAUCAGCUGCCACAUGCCCCCUCUAUGCCAUGGGUACAUCUAGGGAGGUAGCUGAUCUAGAGGGAAGAGACCCCCUUCUGUGACACUCUGGAGCACUUGUACAAACUCCCAGACUCCUCCCCAUGACCUAUGAGGCUGCACUGAUCUGGGUCCCAUCUCCCUGCCCAUCUUAAUUUUGUCCCAUGCCCUCUCAUGUUGCAGGUGUCAAUCUCGGGUCCUAUAUGAAUUAUUUCCAGUUGCAAAUGGGGAGGCCUCAAUGCUUACAAGGCCUAUAAGUGCUGUGAGAACUGGAGUCUGCUGACUGAGGUGUAGACAGCAGCACUCGCCCCACUCUGAGUUCUCCUUCUAGCCAUCCACUUUAGAAGUGGCUGAGCUGAUCCGCGUCUUGGCCGGCUCUCAUGCCAGCUCCGGCUGGGCCACCCUGGAACCCACUCCUGUCGGCUGGGCACAGGAACUCCAGCAGACAGCUCCCAGUUCUACCUCCUUAGCUGUGCCAGGCUCUCAGUGCCAGCUGAGGAGGAGGCCCCCUCCUGCCUCUGCUUGUUUCCCUUGAUUGUUAUGUAAUGUUCGGCAGCAGGAGGUAAAUUCCUCUUCAAUUUCCAGGCCGGUUACAGCGCAUGAACCCCACCAUGGGGAGCCACAGUGAUUGAGCUCAGCAGCCAGGUCCCAUGCUGAGUGUCAUAAAUCAGGCCUAUUACCAGCUCCUCUUGGCGGAUGCCACAGCCAAGAACCUGCCCACUCGGAGACCCGGCCUGCUCCUCUCUGCACACAGCUAAACCAGGGCUGGCGUAUCCCCUGGGCUCGUGGGUCUCUUCAAAACAUCCUGGCUGGGAGUUGCCAGGAAUCUUAUUCUGAAGCCUUUGCCAAGACAUCUCAGACCUGAGGUUUUACAGUCUGAUGCAUAAGGAGCGAAAGCAGGCCGUGCUCACCUGCCACCUGGGUUUCCUGGCCCUGUGGCCCUUCUCAAGUCUUUCCUGUUAUACAGACCAGAACCUCUCUCUCAUAGACCUGAGAAAAGCACCCAGUUCCCAGGCCCAUCCCCAGAGGUUCUGAUGCUGUAGGUCUGCCUGAAGACACGGGAAUUGGCUUUUUUACGCGUUCCCAGGUGAUUCUGAUGCAGGUGGCUCCCGGACCACCCUUUGAGAAGUGCUGCUUGGAGACCAGCUGUAUCCCUAAAGCACUGCCUGCGAAGCGAACGCUUAUAAAUCGAAUCCUUCUUUUCCAUUUCCUUCUAUCAUUCUGCUGAAGAUGUGUUUCUCUGGGGAAGAAGAUGUGGGUUUCAAAAAUCAAUGGCAAUCACACUGAAGGAUGAAGCAAAUCUUUGACUAUGACAUAUUUAAAGGGCAAUAAUAAUGCUAAUAGUUGGGGGCAAAGUUCCAUGGUAGAAUGUUCUGCUGGUGGUUAGUGUGUCACAGGGAAAGCUCUGCUCUUGUGUCUCAGGGGCGCCACCUCUGAGUCUGGUUCUGGUCAGCCUGUGUUCAUCCCAGGUUAUGUGGGUUGUCCCAAUGCAAUCCUAAUCUUCUCUCAGAAGUCCCAGUUUGGAUGACACCUUGUUACUCUCUCUCAAUUACCCACAGGGAAGGUUCGCUUGAGAUCUUGAGAAUUUUCUUCCAAAGAGCUCUACCCUGGGGGGGGGUCUCUCUGAAGGACUUUAUUGAAUUGAUUCCAAUUCUGACUUUCACACUAUGGUCACCCUGACUCUCAGGUGGGAUGAAUGACGAAAGGAUAAAAAGAUAUUUUACCUAGUGACCAGAAGAGCAGAGGUGGAGAAUUUGGGGGUCACAGCAAACCUUUUCUGCCUGACCCCGAUUUAAGUGUCCAAGAUAAUAUUACAUUUUCCUCUCAAACAUUAAAAUAAAACAUUCAGUUAUAAUAAAUCCUAAUCAUCCCAUGAAGCAGGGCCAAGAAGGUGCUGGAAAGUACUAGAGGGAGGUAGUUAGGGCUAGAUUUGAUUCUGGAACUGCCUUCUAAUAGCUGCGUGGUUUACAGGAGGUUGGCCAUUGGAUCCUCAUUCUCUUAGUCUGCAAAAUAGGGAUAAAAAAAUCCAAUUUGGUUAAAGACUUGAGAAAACAUUUGUGUGGAGCGAACACUUAGUAAAUAGUCAAUAAAUGGUGACCAUUUUAAUCAUUAUGAUAACAACUAUUAAAAUGAGAUUUAAAAUUUAAAAAAUAUUUUCUAUUAUAUUUCUUUUUAUUUUCUUUUAGGUGAUGUUUUUCUUUUAUUUCUUCACCAGUUUCUUCUCCUGGAACUUUCCUCCGCGUCAAGGCAAAGCUAGGAAGCUUCCCCAAAAAGCAAAGAGAAAACUCAGUGUCGAAUAAAGAAGUCUGAAGAGUAGGUGUAGAAAACCCAGUGUGUCUCAGAAAUGACUCAAUAUUACUAUCUGUGGUCAAGGAACAGGGGGGUUUAUUCUUCAAGGAUUUUAUAAUUUCUUGGGAACUUUUCAGACUCUUGCAGUGUAUGGAACCUCAUGAUUAGAGGCUGCGGCUGAGCACCUUAGCAGAGGGUACCAGCAGGAAGUCCCAGAGUACAGGAGAGGCCAGUCACACCUUGGAGGAUGCUCCGGAACCAGACCAGAGGCCCAUGCCCCAUCACGGUGAUGUUUGCUCCCACUUGUCCUUUGGAAAGUAGUGGGGGUCAGAGAAGAGGGUGGGAUGAAUAUGAGGAGUCACCCCUUUGAGAGAACAGAUACAACCUCAACAAGAUAUCUGAAUUUGCCUUAACCAAAUAAGUUAAAUGAGACUUUAUUUACAU